This 1045-nucleotide long non-coding RNA is filed under the name Anser brachyrhynchus (Pink-footed goose). Its description in RNAcentral is "lncRNA (ENSABRG00000021326.1)". Lineage: Eukaryota; Metazoa; Chordata; Aves; Anseriformes; Anatidae. The record is from RNAcentral.
GGAAAAAUGAGAUUAGAGUGACUUGCCCCAAUGUGCUAGGCUGCAAAAAGUAGCAGCUGCAAACUGGUGGCAGUUUCACGAGCUCUGUGAAGUCCCCAGCAGUGCUGCUGGAAACCCCCAGGAACUGAGCAGGACAGUGUGCAAUGGUGGGAUUGCACUCUUCAUUCUUUAAGGCGGUGGUUUGGCUUGGCUUGUCCUCCCUGCAACAUCCCUGCCUGUGCUCUGGGUGCUAUAUGGAUGCACGUCGAAUGAUUCCAGUUUAAAUCUGCACGGCAGACAGCAGAAGCACCAAGCACAGUUUCCAGCCUCCCAGUCUGGUCUUUCCAUGCCUCCUUGCGGCUGCCUGCUCCCCGCUACCCUACUCAACAGCUGAUGACGAAUCCUCUGCCUCCUGUCCCUGGGAUUCUGCCCUCUGCUUCUCAUCCUGCUGCCUCUGGUGCUGCCUGGGCCACCUUCCUCACAGAUCUGAUGGGGUUUAUUGCAUUGGCAUGGAGCAUGUUGAAUGUUGCAUCCCUUCCCUCCCUUUACCGUCCUCUCUCCCUGGAAAUGCUCAUGCUCCCACUGCAGGAGCAAAUGGGUCUGAACUGGUCAUCAGGGCACUGAAGUGGUGUUGGGCCACCUUUGAAACAGCUUCAUGCCCAGAGACCAUAAAAGAUGCCUGCUUCAAGAGAGCGUGUGGGGUUAUGAAGCUACGGGGUUAUGGAUGAAGUGUGACCAGUGUCAAUCCCAGUGGUUGACCACCGAGACAACACAGGGACUGCAGCCCAGAGACACCAGUAUCUGCUCCACUGGGUUCUGCUCCCAACGAGGUGACUGUGAAGGAGAUAUUUACCCCAUUAACAUCCACGCAGCUGCUGUGCCACCUUUUACAAGCUGCUACUCCCGGAUCUACAAGGAUUUUGCACCAGGACAUGGCUUUCGUACUUCACAUGUCCCGAGGAUCAGUUUCUGCAUUUGCCUGGCAGCAAGAGGGCAAAACAAAGAGCGAGCCAAGGGCCCUCUGCAAUGUCAGCAUGGGGCAGAGGAGCUGAGCCCUGCAGGAUAA